ACUGUCUCAUAAUAAUCAGCUAUAACAGCAAUUAGCGUAAUAAGUUUACACUCGUUAUCCAUCAGCAGUAUUGCAUAGCACAUGGUGGCAUGUAGUAUAAUGGUUAGAGAGAGAACUGCGCUUAAAACUGAGGUUUUAAAUUAGAUUCCCAGCUGGGUCCCUGCCGUUGUACCCUUGAGCAAGGUACUUAACCUGCAUUGCUUCAAUAAACAUUCAGCUGUAUAAACGGCUUGUAUGUAAAGAAUGCAAGCUGUGUAAGGAACUCUGGAAUCAAAUUGGCCCUUUGUCAAAUAGCAGCAGUGGCACUCUGCAAUUGCCCAGCAGUCAUGUUGGGUACCAUAAUAUUGCCCCAACUGUCUACUGGCCAAUUUGUCAGCCAUCAUCAAGACUAUGGUGAGACCCCAAAGGAAGAGAAGGGCCAGGUGAAGUGGACCGGCAGAGAUGACCUUGAGUGUGAGGUCGUAUGUUGGUUUCCAGCUGGAGCAAUUGCAGUUCUUUAAGUGUAAUGGGAUGUUAAUUGCUCUUAAUUAGACUCACUGAUGACUGAGCGAUGUUGUUCUAAAAUCAGAUUAGGGCAGAAAUAAAUGAGUGUGC
Molecule: long non-coding RNA, 594 nt
Organism: Anguilla rostrata (American eel)
Lineage: Eukaryota; Metazoa; Chordata; Actinopteri; Anguilliformes; Anguillidae
Exons: 3
Source: RefSeq, a predicted model, not a curated record